UGUGUAUGUGUGUGUGGGCAGCCAGGUCAGUCACAGUGUGCUGGUCUCUGUGACACACACCCUGCAGUGGUGUCCCCUGCCUGCAGCAAGCUGUUGUUUGAGCCUGGGCCAGAGCUAAGCUGUGUCCUGGUGGACUGUCACUCCUGCUUACAUCUGCCCUCUGAUCAAAGCCUCUACCAAUGCCCCCUGUGGCCAUCAUGGCUCACCCCAUACCCUCCUUUUCAUUCCUCCCUCUCUCCCUCUCUCCUUUCUCUCUCUUCCUCCGCUCCACCAACCUUGACUCCUGCCCCCUCGCCAUGGCUUGGCUGGCACACGGAGGAUCAGACGCCAGGCUGCUACCACAGCACAGACUGGCAGAGAGAGAGAGAGAGAGAGAGAGAGAGAGAGAGAGAGAGAGAAGAUGGUGAAAGACAGAGAAAGAUAAAGGGAAAGAGAGAGAUGGAGAGAAAAGGUGAAUGACAGAAAGAGAAAGCGAGAGAGAAAGAGACAGAGGAACGGGACAUACUAAGGCAUCGUGGUAUAUCGAGGGGGGACAGACAGAGAGACUGAACGAGGCUGGCUGUUUGGUUGAUGACCCCGUUGAGACACCUUCUUUAUGAUGUCAUAAACAGAAAGGCUAUGGCCAGACUGCUCAUCCAUUAGAAUGACCUUCCUUUUCAUGAUCAGCUCUUGUCAGUAGGCAGCCCCUUUUACAGCCCAGGUAAUGGAUGUUUAUAUAUACAUGCUAUGAUGGCCAAUGUAGCCAUAUAAUUCGACAUAACCAUAUAAUGAUAAUUAUAUCGUCGCAUAGCAGUAAUCCCACCAGCUUGCAUACUUAAUGGGUGGUGAUUGACAGUUUGGAAUAAAUCUUCUCAUUUGGUUGUAGUCACUGGAAUUAAUUACCAGCCAAUUGUGUCAGACAUAUUAAUUUAGGAGAUUAUACAUUCCAUUAACGGAGUACCUUAUUAGCUAGGGUUACAUACGCUAUGCUUGGGUUUCUGCAUUGAAAUGAAAUCGCAUCAGGCAAGAAAUGAGGAACAAAUUUCCAAGGAGGAGUAGCUGCUACUUUCGCAACAGCUAAUGGGGAUUCUAAUAAAAUACCAAAUACAAAGGUAACAUUGGGAAGACUGCUGUGAAGGUAACAUGGGGAGACUGCUGUGAAGGUAACAUGGGGAGGACUGCUGUGAAGGUAACAUGGGGAGGACUGCUGUGAAGGUAACAUGGGGAGGACUCCUGUGAAGGUAACGUGUUGCUACAUUUUCUAAAUGAGCAUUGGCCGGGGGCGGCAGGGUAGCCUAGUGGUUAGAGCGUUGGGCUAGUAACCAAAAGGUUGCAAGUUUGAGUCCUCGAGGUGACAAGGUGUCACGUCCUGGCCAGUAUAAGGGUUAAUUGUUAUUGUAGUUUGGUCAGGACGUGGCAGAGGGUAUUUGUUUUAUGUGGUUCAGGGUGGUGUUUUUGUAGUAAGGGCAUUUGAUUUAGUAUUCCGGGGUUUUUUGGCCACUGUUUGAGAUUCAUGUAUUCUAUGUUUAGUCUAGGUAGUCUGUUUCUAUGUUGAGUUAAUUGGGGUGGACUUCCAAUUGAAGGCAGCUGUGUGGUGUUGCCUUUGAUUGGAAGUCCUAUAUUAGUUGGGUGUGUUUGUCUGUGUGUUUGUGGGAGAUUGUUCUGUGUAUAGCGUCGAGCCUUACAGGACUGUUUAUUGUCGGUGUGUUUCUUUUUGUAUACGUGUUUAUUUUGGGUUUGCCUUCUUUCCUCAUAAUAAAGAAGAUGAGUAUACACAUACCUGCUGCGUUUUGGUCCUCCAUUACCAACGACAACCGUAACAGAAUCUCCCACCAACAAAGGACCAAGCAGCAGAGGAAAAGGGAUUUCGAGUUGGACUGGCGGGAGAGAUGGACCUGGGAGGAAGUUCUGGACGGGGCUGGACCUUGGCACCAGGCUGGGGAGUACCGUCGCCCACGGGAGGAAAUUGAGGGAGCCAAGGCAGAGAGGCGGAGGUACGAGGCCUUGGACGCGCUGAGGGAGAAGCACGAGAGGCACCCCCAAUAUAUUUUUUUGGGGGGGCACACGGGUAGUUUGGCUAGGCCUAGGAAGAGCCGGAAGCCAGCUACCCGUGGUUAUAUGGAGGAGCAUAUGAGGCGGAGGGCGCCAUGUUUCGCUGAAGAGCGCACUAUCUCACCCAUACGCACGCACAGUCCGGUGCGCAUUAUUCCAGCCCCUCGCAGGUGCCGUGCUAGAGCGGGCAUCCAGCCUGGUAGGAGGAUGCCUGUGCAGCGCAUCUGGUCGCCGGUACGCCUCCAAGGACCAGGCUACCCAACUCCCGCUCUACGCACGGCUACCAUCAGGCCCCUGCACAGCCCAGUCCGCUCUGUACAAGCACCCCGCUCGUACAGGGCUACUAGUUCCAUCCAGCCAGGACGGGUUGUGCAGGAGGUAAGAUCAAGACCGCCUGUGCGCCUCCAUAGCCCUGGGUUUCCAGUUCCUGUCUCUCGUGCGGACCCGGAAGUGCGUCAGCCCAGUCCGACUCGUCCUGUUCCCGCUCCCCGCACUAGCCUGGAGGUGCGUGUUCCCAGUCUGGUACGUCCAGUACCAGCACCACGCACCAGGCUUCAAGUGCGUCAUCCCAGUCCGACGUCGCUAGAGCUGCCCGUCAGUCAAGAGUCGCCAGAACUGCCCGUCAGUCCAGAGUCGCCAGAACUGCCCGUCAGUCAAGAGUCGCCAGAACUGCCCAUCAGUCAAGAGUCGCCAGAACUGCCCGUCAGUCAAGAGUCGCCAGAGCCGUCCGUCAGUGAGGAGUCGCCAGAGCCGCCCGUCAGUGAGGAGUCGCCAGAGCCGCCCGUCAGUGAGGAGUCGCCAGAGCCGCCCGUCAGUGAGGAGUCGCCAGAGCCACCCACUAGUCAGGAGCUGCCAGAGUGGCCAGACUGCCCGGCGAUGCCAGACUGGCCAGACUGCCCGGCGAUGCCAGAGUGGCCAGACUGCCCGGCGAUGCCAGAGUGGCCAGACUGUCUUCCGGGUCUGCCAGAGUGGCCCGACUGUCCUGCGGGUCUGCCAGAGUGGCCCGACUGUCCUCCGGCCCAGCCCGAGUGGCCCGUCUACCCGGAGCUGCCGGGUUGGGUCGUCUGCCCGGAACUGCCAGAACCAGAGCCACC
Molecule: long non-coding RNA, 3125 nt
Filed under: Salmo salar (Atlantic salmon)
Lineage: Eukaryota; Metazoa; Chordata; Actinopteri; Salmoniformes; Salmonidae
Description: lncRNA (ENSSSAG00000111267.1)
Source: RNAcentral